Molecule: long non-coding RNA, 1694 nt
Organism: Seriola aureovittata
Lineage: Eukaryota; Metazoa; Chordata; Actinopteri; Carangiformes; Carangidae
Exons: 3
Source: RefSeq, a predicted model, not a curated record
GUUGCUGAUUGGCUGGAAUUGGUCUGAGCCACUUUGUUUAUAACCCAUUUACAGAAUCAGGGCGGUGUAGGAACACCGGAUUCAGCACAUUUACUCUAACUUUACUUGCCCUCUUCACACCCCAUCACUACACACAUUGGAAGUAAAGUUAAUACACAGGGUUUUAGAUUACAAGACUCUUCAGGUUUCAAAAAUUAUGUAUAAGAGUUAAAGUGGUUCAAGUGAGAUCUUUCUCCGUAAAUCUUUAUCCCCCAAAACACGGAAACUCAAACUUGACUUCCCUUGAUCUUUGUUUUGUAGUGGUUACUUACUGAAAGGGGACACAUUAUGCUUUUUUGAUUUUCUCUCACUUAUUUUCUGUUGUUUUGUUGGACGUCCAAGUUAAAGCGCCAAAGUCUCAAGACCUGAGGUGAACAUAUGUUAAAAUGCUACCUGUAACACAGACGGUUUCAGUUGUCUGUGAAUGCUUCCUUCCAAUGCUUUAUUUCUACAUUCCCAACACUGACGUAUGAACAUCAUGGAAGUCCAUGAACCGAACGCCGCUCUGGGCCUCAACUCCGGGUUCAGCACACCCCAGCAUCAGAGCAUGCAAGCAAAUUACAGGCUGCAGGGACUGUUACGUCACCGACCACAAUGUCAAGAAGAAAGUGUUUCCGUUAUUGCUGCAGUGGAGGGAAGGCAACAUCAGAUACCAGUGGAUAUCAUUUGUAUUUUUUGGACCCCUUACAGCAGUACAACUCUUGUAUUUCUGUCUGGACUUUGCAUUUCACGAGACGACCGGGUUCAGCAACAACCGCCUGCUGGCUAGCCAUUCCAUGAUUGUCGGUUAUGCUGGUACUGAUGGAAAAGCAGCUCCAACUUUAUUGGGCCAGCGUGUUGAUUCAGGACUCGAAACUUGCAUCAGAGCAGAACCAGUGAGUACACUGGUGUCCAUGAGAGGAGAGAAAGAAAAUAUCAAAAGAUUAUCUGUGUGACCCGAUGACACUAAUGUUCCUGGACCCACCAGACUUUCCUCAGAGCACAAGAGACAAGUUAUUGCUGGGUGGGUGGGACAACACAGUGAUAUCUGGAAGGUCUUGGGACAUCCACAGGAAGACACGCCAGGAUGACUAGUCUGACUCUCUGCUCUGGGAGCUCCUGCACCAGCUGACACAACUGCAAUAUAAAAGCAGCGUAGAAGAAACCCUCCAACCACAUGGAGGACUGGGGCUUGACAGAGCUGCAGCAGGAGCCCUGAGGCCGGUCCAUUCAUCGUGCUCGAUGCAUCAUGGCACCCAUCACAGUCAAUCAUAGUGGUGUUGUUAAGCCUCCAGCAUCCAAUUAGAGGAGAUUACACUCUAAGAGUCUUACAAUGACCAUGCAGGUCCUCACCAUGUGUUUCCUUCUCAUACAUGGAUCACAGGAGCUGGCACUGAUACCAAUUCAUGUUCAAAUCACCACAACCUUUUACCUGCAUGGCAUAUGUUGCUGUGUAAAGGGGAUUUAAGCUGGCUGUUUGAAGACAUACUGUAUAUUAAGAGUUUGUGGCUUGUACCAGCUAAAACAGUCAUUUUAACUGUACCACUUAUUUGCAGCUGCAAGCAGCAAUAACAUGACUGCAGGCAAUAUAUAAUUACAUAUAUAUAUAUAGAUAUAUAUAUAAUAUGUAUAAUUUUUGCUCAAAAUUGAUUGUUAGAGAGCUAAAUCUGAAACAA